GUCUAUAUACGUAUAGCAUAUCAAUAAGCGGAGGAAAAGAAACUAACAAGGAUUCCCUUAGUAACGGCGAGUGAAGCGGGAAGAGCUCAAAUUUGAAAUCUUCAAGGUUUACCUUGACGAAUUGUAGUUUAAAGAAGUGUUUUCUGUUGAAGUUUGGUAGCAAAGUUCUUUGGAAUAGGACAUCAUAGAGGGUGAGAAUCCCGUAUUUGACCAUUAUUAUUCAGCUGUGUGAUACACUUUCAAAGAGUCGGAUUGUUUGGGAAUGCAGUCCAAAAUGGGUGGUAAAUUUCAUCUAAAGCUAAAUAUUGGCGAGAGACCGAUAGCGAACAAGUACCGUGAGGGAAAGAUGAAAAGAACUUUGAAAAGAGAGUUAAACAGCACGUGAAAUUGUCAAAAGGGAAGCGUUUGACACCAGUGUUGUUUUUCCGAAAAUCAAUUACGAAUGGCUUGAUUUUGUGUUGUAUUGACCUUAUCAGCUUUCUUCACUUUUUUCGAGUCUUUCUUAAUGCACUUUUGGUUAACAAGUCAACAUCAAUUUCUUUUGUUGUAAAAGAGUAUUCGGAAGGUGGCUUUCUUUUCGGAGAAAGUGUUUAUAGCCCUAUACUUCUACAAUCGGAGAGAUUGAGGUCUGCAGCGUAGAUCCUUCGGGGUUAGAUACAUUUGUGCUAAGUUGUAGCUUUUCAUAGACAACUUGUUGACUAUGUUUAGUCAUGCGGCUUACUCGCUUAUGCUAUUUUACCUACGCUUAGGAUGUUGACUGAUAUGUAGUCGUA
Molecule: ribosomal RNA, 773 nt
Filed under: uncultured Neocallimastigales
Lineage: Eukaryota; Fungi; Neocallimastigomycota; Neocallimastigomycetes; Neocallimastigales
Description: partial large subunit ribosomal RNA
Rfam family: Eukaryotic large subunit ribosomal RNA
Source: RNAcentral